UAAUCCAUCUGCCUCGACUGUAAAGCACUUUGCGUCGACUCCUGUUGUUUUUAAAUGUGCUAAAUAAAUAGAAAUGACUUGAAUUUCCACCAAGUUACAUUGGUUACAUUUCUCUCACAAACACACAAGAGGGCAACUUGUGUAUCUGGGUGAACCGCACUUCUAAACAUUACCAAGCGUCUGAGUCUCGGUAACCAGGGCAACAGAUCACAAGCAUGUCAUUCUGAAUGAAUUCUACUAACUACUAUAUCUCAUGAAACUCUUUUGGUUUCAUUAUUUCUCAUGUCUAUCCAAGCCUGUGAAAAUGUAGUGCAUGCAUUAGAGUAGGAUGUGCACGAAAAUAUGGGACAAAUCGCGUCCCGUAUGGAUUCUGUAAGUGACAGUGCAUUUAAUUUUUUAAUACGGGACGAUCUCGUAUUAUACGGGACAGGUGACAACCCUAUUAUCAAACUAGCUAGUGAGAAUUGAAUGAUAAUUUGCCUGGAUCUAUCCUUCGCCUUGGGACCAACGCUGUGGACUGUAUCCACGAUGUCUUCAAGUUUGUGCUGCAGGUGUGGAGCAAUUUCGGCUAACAACGAGACGACUUCUUUUCGGAUAUCUUCACCCGCUGUUUCUGUCAUUCCGAUAACUCUGAGUGUUAGACUUCAACAAUUUUGGGGGCUCGGUCCGGGAUUGGAA
Molecule: long non-coding RNA, 678 nt
Organism: Esox lucius (northern pike)
Lineage: Eukaryota; Metazoa; Chordata; Actinopteri; Esociformes; Esocidae
Exons: 3
Source: RefSeq, a predicted model, not a curated record